RNAcentral lists this ribosomal RNA (253 nucleotides) under uncultured prokaryote. Its description in RNAcentral is "partial 16S ribosomal RNA". It matches the Rfam family "Bacterial small subunit ribosomal RNA", at positions 525 to 777 of the family's 1533-position model. The record is from RNAcentral.
ACAGAGGGUGCGAGCGUUAAUCGGAAUUACUGGGCGUAAAGCGCGCGUAGGCGGCUUUUCAAGUCGAUUGUGAAAUCCCCGGGCUUAACCUGGGAACUGCAGUCGAGACUGUCUAGCUAGAGUAUGGGAGAGGGAAGUGGAAUUCCAGGUGUAGCGGUGAAAUGCGUAGAUAUCUGGAGGAAUACCGGUGGCGAAGGCGGUCUGCUGGGCCGUUGCUGACGCUGAGGCGCGACAGCGUGGGGAGCAAACAGGA